This 3202-nucleotide long non-coding RNA is filed under the name Oryzias sinensis (Chinese medaka). Its description in RNAcentral is "lncRNA (ENSOSIG00000020896.1)". Lineage: Eukaryota; Metazoa; Chordata; Actinopteri; Beloniformes; Adrianichthyidae. The record is from RNAcentral.
AUGAAGAGUGCUCAGAGAUCAGCUGGUCUAUUUAACAGACUGCCAAAUAACCUCCUUCCAUGUGACAAGUCCAGGUCAAAGGUCAGAGAAAACAGCUUCUGCUUCAGGCCUGGUUCUUGGCUCAGCUCAAGCUGUUUGGUGCCCUCUUGUGGAUGUUAUUUAUCAUCACCCAAAGGAUUAAUGGAGCCAGGUUUACACACGGAUUUGUGUUUGGAAAGCGGACCCCCACCUCCCUGCUUGGGCUCACCCACUUGCUUGGCAUCCACGGCCGCCGUGUUCUCCCGGCUGAAGCUGAGCUCGGUGAUGGCCAUGGUAUUGAAGUCUUUGGCUCACUCAAACAGUUCUCUGCGGACCAGCAAAGAGACCUGGGGUACCGGGGGGGGGCAGGGACGGGACUAACCGAUGAACCAUUAGUUCUUCCCGAAUGUCUGAGCUUCAACUCAUUUCUCUAAGAAGACUCCAGCCCCUUGUAGGAAGCUGAUUUCUAUGACUUUAACCACUUGUUAGCACCCACAGCUCAUUGUCAUAGAUGGGGGGGGGGGGGUCAUGGGUAGGACCAAUGAACUAAAAACUCCAUCUUUGUGAACAUAAUGCCUAGAUUUUUGAACUCCUCUUCCUGUUGGAGGAGCUUGUUUCUAGCUGCUUUGCAGUCUGUUGUGGAGGCCUGAUGCAGCCUCUGCCAUCUAUUGGAGCUAAACUGAAACUGCUUCAGCGCCUUCAUCACAAGCCUCUUCUUCUUCAAAGCUCAAAAGGUUAAGUGGACCUCAUUGACAAUGGAGGGGCGUUUGUCAUAGUCCUGACCCAGCCGCUGGUACAAGAUGGCAGGUUGGAUGUCAGAACCCGAAGCGUCAAGUUCACCAUAUGAAGGCCAGACACGGAAAAGACAUUUUGUUUCAUCUUGACUUACAAGAUCACACAAGGAUCCGAGCGUACGACAAAUACAAAAAUGGGAAUAAGAACAUGACCGAGUGCAGGUGCGCACAUUUACUUUGAAAAUAUAAAGCAACAAACUGUAAUCAGAUUACACAAACUCAGAGAAUUGGAUACAUUGUAUUCAGCUUCGAAAGACUGCAUUUUAGAUCACACAGAAUAUAUUUAGAUAAUGAAAGUUGUAUUUGGGUACAUAUGGUGUAAUCACAUAAUUACAUAGACUAAUCAAUUUACACAAUCUGUGUGUGGAUAACAUCAACUCUAGAAUUACACAAACCAUCUAACCUUCUCUGCAGUUUUGUUCAUUUAAAAACCAAACCUGUAGAAUUCAGAUGGUCUAAAUCUUUCUGUGGGAGUGGAUGGGUCAGGAGUCCCACCUUUGCUUCCAGUGAGUGAGGAGACCUUCCGGUCGGGCUCAAAUGUCGUAGAUGAUGGGGUUUAGGAACCAGGGGAUCCUGAGUUCAACAUCCCAGCUUUGGCUGUGAAUCGGUCUGGUGACUGAACACCCCCUCCUGCCUCUGGUCUGAUAUCGGGCAGACCCUUAUUCUUUGUGCACGAGCAGCUCCGACCUUUUCAACUCUCAACAGGAUGUUUGUUCCAAUGAAUGCAGUCCUGAUCCGGGUCUAGACUCUGUAGUCUGAUGGUCAGGCAACCUGGUGAAGUGAAGCCAGAGCCUAAUGUAGAAUUCCAAUUGAAGCUGCUGUCUUACAGCCAAAGCGCAAUAAAGACUCAACUUUGACCUUUGGUCCGUCCUCAUUCAUGCUGACCCCCCCGGAGUAGUAAUCCUGCUCUGGAGCUCACACAGGGUCAAAACAUUGAGGUUGUUUCCAUCCGUACUUCAUCCUGCAGACGGGGUGCCUAAAGAGGCAGCAGAGAACUGUGGGUAUUUUCUGACACUUUGAUGACCUUUUUAGCUCACAUUUUAUGAAUAAACUAUGAAUUCAUAUUUUUGAACUCCAUUGAUCUUUAUCGAAACUUUACAGGAAGAUCUGAUGUUCAAUGAUGAGAGCAGCUUCUGAAGUUUUGAAGAUGGCAGCAUGUAAACACGGUCACACACUUCCUAACAGACAGUGAAGAGCAGCUUCACACACAAGCUCUAGGAGACGGUUGUCAUGGAGACAGACUGACCUGCAGUGGAGUCCCUCAGCGAUCACAGUAUCCAUCUGAACCUGCUUAAGAUGAUGGCCCUGUGUCCCUCAACUGCAGAAAACAGAAAUGUGACGGGUUGGAAAAAGUCAAGACAGUGAAAUAAGUAGUUUUGAUGUAAGCAAAAAAUGAUGCUCUUAUUUUGUAGAUCUAGCAGCUUCCUCUUUUCCAGAGUAAAGGGGGAGGAAAGUUGUUUUUCAGAGCAGAUUGAAGCUUGUUUUCCUGCAACACCCCCAUGUGACCCACAGAGAUUCAUCAAUUAAUCACAUGGCUGACUGCAAAAUAUACUAACAUACUCAAAUUUAUAUGAUCAGCACAAUUCGAAUUUUGAAAAUCAUUUUGAAAAACAGAAGGAGUGAAAGUAAAAAGAACUUAACAGUCGUUGUCGGGGCAACAAAAUGUCAUUUAACAAUCAUUUUUGUUUAUUCAAAAACUAAAACCAGUUUCUUGUUUUUUCAUUGUAUGCAGCAUUUUCUACCUAUUCUGUAUUGUAUAUUUUCUUUAAACAGUUAUAAUAAAAGUUUUUCUUUGAGAACAUUGGCUGUCCAGCUGGAUUCUGCUAAAUAAACGUUAUAGCAAAAAAAUUAUAAUCAAAAAUCAUAAAUAUUGCUAUUUCCUUUUGCCAAAUGCUUUCUUGUUACUUGAAGUUUAAUAGUUUGCAUUUUUUAUCUCAAAUCUGCAAAAGAAAUCUGUUGUGAAAACAAAUUACUGUUGUUUAACGCUGACUUUUUAUCCAGCUGUCUGCUCAAAUUUAAAUCCGGUUUAGCAAAAGUGCAACACUUACAUCGAGUUGACUUCAUGACUUUGUGAAUUUAAAAACUGUCUUUGUUUCACAAAAGUAAGAAUAAAGUGCUCUCUCGCUAGCUUACAGCCUUUUACAACCUCGACCUAACAUACCGGUCCAACAAAAAUGGCGAGGAAAAUGAAAGUUAUCCAGCUGUACAGUUUUGAUCCAGAUACCAGCUCAGAGGAAAAUGAAGACGUGAAUGAAUCUGGUUGUCUACAAGUGGAUGCAUCAGAAUGGAGCGGAGCAGGGAGCUUGUGGCCUGCCAAGUGUCACAAAUACGGAUUUACAAUGAUUUGAAUAAAGAAAUAUUCAGAAAUGCAAUUUUUCCGCUUUAUUUAU